CAGCCUUGAGUUAAGAAUCAGGUUAUCAAUGAUUUUCUGUUUAUUUCUGUAAAAAGCACUUUGAUAAUUGGCCUUAUCAAAUAAAUAAAGUUUCCAUGUACAGCAACAGCCCAUUGUCACAGACAUGGCAAGCAGAAGCUUGGUAGAGCUUGGAAGGACAAAUGGAAUUGUUGAUUACAUCCUAAGAGCUUUCCUUUACGUAGCCUAAGUAAAUAUUAGGAUAUCACAGUUGUGCAUUGAGUAAGACCUUGUUUAAUUCAGUCCAAGGUUGGAAGCAUCAGUUUAGCUGGGCCAGAGGCAAAUUUACAAGAACCUGAGUUAAUCAGGGGUUCAGUCUGGAGUAAAAACUACACCAUCUGGAUUGGGUUUUCCUGCAACUACUCUCAAGUUACCAAAAGUUAUAAUUUUCUUCUGAAGCUGAAGGCACAAAUCGUUGAGAUGGUCAGCUUGCCAGUACUUAAGAAACACUUUUCGAACUCCUAUCUAGAAUAUAAACAGCAAAGAAAUCAUCAACAAAUAAGCUGAAUUCGCCUAUAUCUUUCCUGCAACCCAAAGCUGAGCUGUCUUGUCUUUCACACACCAUGGUAGGCAAAGCUGCAGUGCUGGAAUGACUCCAGGGAUCUCAAUUGUACCCAAAGCUGUGGCAAGUCUGGAGCAACAUCUGCAGGAUGAACGAGUCACUCCCAGCUCACAGAUCUCCUUGUCAAUGGGAAACUGUCCCCAUUAACUAUGACAAACCAAUCUGAGUCCAAACUCACACUCAGGACAAAUUCCAACCAUUAAUGUGUGGAGGUAAGUUCAGUCAAUAGGUUAUACACAAAUUCCAUUUACAUUUCCAACAACUAUGUCCACUAAGGAUUUUGGGUCACCUCAAUUGCCUGAUGUUGUGAUUUCAAUAAUAGAUGACUGGAUUGUCCCUGCAUCUGUCAUCUGACUGCAGAUAAAUUCUAACACAUGUGGUAGACACUCUAAAAAUUGAGCAAAAAUCUGAGUUCUCACCAGUGGUGCUCCGGGUACAUCCAAAAUGAAGAAAUACAACCAAAUGUCUCUUUUAAUACUGAGCCUAUCCCUGAAGACACUGUAUAGAAGAAGAGCACUAAAGCACUAAGACAAGAAAGUAGUUGGAUUUUUUGGGUUUUUUUAAACUUUUUAUGGGGAUGGAUGAAAAACAACUAGUUAAUUUACAGACUUUAGAUAUAAGAAGCUCUGGCUUGCAUAAUAGUAGAACCCAAAGGGAAUUUUUAAGUCAAAAAGAAAGAAUAUUAUAGAUUUCAGUACUUGCAUGAUUAGGCAGGUAUUAAUGGGAACUUAGAAUACAGUUCAGUUUUAUUUACCUUGGGACCAUGUUUCUAUCUAAAGCCUUCUUUAAUUUUUUGUAUUGGAUCUAUAUCCUAAACCCCUUAGGUGUUUGAGGAAAUUUUAUCCUUGUACAUUUAAUAAAGCCCUAAAUAUAUAAUUAAGAUUAGUAACACUAAUCAGUUCAUUAAUUUUCCAUAGGGUCACUUGACAAUUAUGCAAUGCUAUCUUGUUCACAAAAGAAAUUAUGUGAUUUGGAAGUGUAUAAUCUGUUAGAGUGAGUAAUUGUCAAAUUAUGUACUUACUAUGGCAUCUGACAUGAACAAGGUAUAACAAGAGAAUUAUGGUUCUUUUCCAUGACAGAGCCAAUGUUAUGUAUUUUCUAAUUGCAUUUCCUAAGAACAUGCAACACAGUUAGCAAACUAUUAGAGUUCUUCAAGUAUACUAUUAAAUGCUUUUAGUGUACUCAACAUAAAUGUUGUGCUAUCUUGGCCCGUAAAAGGUAAUUAACAGAAUUUAUAUGACAAAUCCAUAAUGCCAGUUCCUAAUUGAGUGUCUUGGGCUUUCACUAAAUUAGAAGAAGAGAAUUAGUAUUGGUGGUAAGAGUAGGUAAGUAUAGCAGUGGGAGAUGCUAUAUCAUGAUUAACUGCCUAGAUUAAAACAGGGAGAAGUUUCAGUAUUAAUGCUGGUAUAAUACAUCACAAACUUCUGGAACUAUAUUCAUAAGACAUAUUUAAUAUCACAUAAAAUAGAUAAAACUUAGGGGGAUUCCCUUUUAUGAAGAACUUGCUAACGCUCUAAACAAUUCUCCCAUAGACUUGGUAAAUUAAUUCACUGCCUAAAGACAUGAAAUCUGACUCAAUGAAAUGACACUCUGGGGUUCCAUAGUCAUUGCCAGUCCCACAAAACACAAAAAGAAAUAAGUCCUCUUCCAGCUGUCAAUUUUGUUGAUUUAAUCUUGCCCUCAUCGAACUACAAACUACAAACUACAAACUACAUGCCACCUAAAGCACAUAUAUUUCCCUCAGUUUUCUUCCAUUGUGUUUGUAAAAUAAACCUGGCCCAAACUCUGCACUGGCUGGCACUCCAGCACAGUGGAUAGUUAUUCUGGGGAGACAAAAAGCAAGCAAAUAUUGUAUGCUUUAGAUAGGAAAUGUGCACUCGCUUAGAUAGUGGGUCCAGUAUUAUAAAACAUACCACUUAUUGUCACUUCUAUUUACCACAACUUGCUUUCUCUUGCUUUAUAUGAUGGCUUUUUAGGGUAGACAGAGUGCAAACCUAUACGUCUGUGUUAGCCAAAGGAAACAAGACCUUUAUAUGGUAUCUGAAUAGCUGAAAUAUUUUUAUUUAAAAAAAAUACUGUUCCACACUACAUUUUAUUUCAUUAUAAGAGAAAAAAACCAAAAUGGAGCUGGAUUUGCUUUCCUUCUAAAUUUAAGUUCAUAAAGGAAGAGAGCUUAACAUAAUUCAUAAUGGAUAUGGUCAAAUAUUCAUCUGUCCUCAAUAUUUUGGGAAAACUAUUGAGGAGUAUUUCCAUUCUACCAGCCACCAGUUCCCUUCUCAGAUUUCAGGGCUCUGCUCAUGAAGGCACUCAUGUCCUGCAUGCUGUAUCUCACCUUUGAAUUUAGUAUCUCUUGACUCACAUUUCCUCCUCAAAUCUCUGUUUCCAGAUCUCAUUAACAUUUCCAGCAUAUUUUAAGACUCUGUGUCAAUGAGUUUCACUAAUUACUAAGUAUGAGAGAAAAAAAAAAACAAACAACUAUAUUUUGCUUUGAACCUGUUUUUUGCUCAUUUAAGUUAGCAUAGCUGGUUUUAAUACCAUAAGAACCAGGUACAAGCAAGAGGUAAAAUUCCCAGAAAAUAGGAGACUUGCCAGAUAUGAACAGAGCUGACUUUGGGAACUGUGUAUUCCUCUUAUCUUUUUACACAUUCUUGUCUCUUUGCUUCUUUAAUUAUCUUCAUGCCAGAAAAUCAGAAGACUCUAUAUAUUGUCUUCUGAACUAAAGUAUCCUCUCUCAUAACAUCUCAUUUGCUUAAGGGAUUUUCUCCAAGUUUAUUUGGCAUCCUACAUAUACUUUAUCAACAGGACCACCUUUACACAUAGUUUUCAUCAAGUCCUUAAAAUAUUCUUUUUUUUUUUUGUAAAUAAUUUUCAUAUCUUGCGAUAGGCCAAAAAACCUCAUGGUUAAUGGCAGAUUUGGCAGGAACCCUAAAACAAGCUAGGGAAACGCCACCUGGAAUAUUAAGAACAAUUUGGCUGCAUUCCCAGUGAGAAAUGAAAAUUUUAUUAUUUUAAUAACAAAAUGUAACAGAGAAACUCAGUUUUACCUGUGUUGUAAAUUUUAGGUAAUAAGAAAAUAAUAGGAAAAUAAUUAGUUCAUGUAGCAAAGGAGAAAUUUUUGAGAACAUGUCCAAGGACAAUUUGGUGCACAGAGAGACACUUGUAGUUGCUAAUUUUCUGCCAGUACUUGAAUGAGAGUGAUAUGCUUGCAUGUACCAUUUUUUAAGUACCACUGGGUUUAUCAACCUCCUAAAACAAAUCUCGCUAAGCAAUGAGUGAGCUAAAUAAUGUUAUAGUCUGUCAAGUCUUAUUCUAACGCUGUGAUGGAAUAGCAUUUUGAAAGAAGGAAGUAUUUAGAAACAAAAUAGACGGGCGCGGGAAAGCAUUUUAUCAUUUUCUCAAAUCCCAAAUCAAGACUACUUAAAGAAAGAAAGAGAGAGAGAAAAGAAGAAAAAGGAAGACUGUCUUGCCUAUGUGAAAACCAGAAUCUACGUCAAGCAGCCUUUAUAUGCCUUGGUACAGUUUAGAUUAGAUUGAUUUGAUUGUUGCGUCUGGGGAUUCAGCCUGGGGAAAAAAAUAGUGAAAAUGAAAGGAUCCUUAUUGAUUAAUCCUCCUCCUUUUGUCUUUUGAUUUAGAGGUUCAGUUUCAGAGUCUGCCUGGGAUAUACAAGGCAUUUGAGAGAAGACUGCCUUGGUGAAGGUGAGCUGACAGCUGAGAGGUAUUUUUGGUAUGCAGGUAGCUGAGAAAUUAAAGACAUUGAUCUGCACUUAAAGGAACAUUGUGUGCACUGGUUUAUAGAGCAAAGAAGCUGAUCUUUAGGUCUGGUCAGUUUAUUACAGUACAGAAAGUCAAAACAGUGGCAAGGCAAACAGCAACAAAGAGCUUAUUUAAUUUGUAAAUUCAAGUUUAAUUUAAACAGCAGAAUGCUUAAGUUAUGAUUAUGUAUUAUUCAGAUCACGUGAAUAAUGAGGCAAAUACCAUUAUGUUAAAUACGACUGUUAUGUAAAGCUGUGUCUCUUGGCACUGUGCUAAAACAAAAUAUUUCUGAUUUAUUUAGUGAUAUGUUAAUUCUUCCACAAAAUUUUAAAAAGUAAAGAACUUUGAGUCCUUAAGAAAGUUCAAUGAUGGAAAUGUUACUCUUCAAAAAUCAUGGCUAUUGAUAUGCCUGAUAGUUCAAAUAUAUAAUUAAUGUGAAGCUCUUCCUUAAGUGAGAGCCCACAAUGUAAAUAUUAAUUUUAUCAACAAAUGAACCUAGAAAUUCAGUAUUACAGAUUCUUAGGAUAGUUUCAGCUGAUGGUCCGAUGCACCCAUAAAACUCUUUGCUAUCUCAAGGAAGGCUUGCAAGGUGUUGCGUGUGCCCCUUCCCCCACAGACAGUGUCUGUGAGAAGCAUCUCAGGAUACCCACAGUCAUAUCACGCAUCAGAAACAAAGCAAUGUCCUAGAUGAGCAGAAAUUUUCUGGAAGAAAUCAGACUGCCAGUAUUCAGAGAAUUGUGUUAAACAACCUCCAGAUAAAGCCUUUCACUAGGAUUAAUUUUUUUUUUAGUCAUAAAUCCCCUAAAUCAUUCUCUUCUACCUUCUGCCUGAACAAAACAGAUAAGCUUUUUGUCUUACAGCACUCAGAUAUCAAGACAUUAAACAGCUCUUAGAAAAUACUCAUAAUGUGUCAAGGCAUUGUAGGAUUCUGUUCAGCUGAAAAAUUAAAACUAAGAGAUAAAGUAAAAUACUUGAUAUGAUAAAGUACUGAUGCUCACAGUGGCCUUUGCUAAGCAUGUGUUCAUGUGUGUUCACAAGCAAUAUAUCAUAUUGCCCGUGAAGAAAAAGACAGAUUUAAUCUUGUUCAGGAAUAAUAGCAAAAUUCAAAAGAAAUGAGGCAAAAUCCAUUUUCUCUCUUCCACUGGAUCAUUCUGCCACAUUUGUGUAAAAUCAUAUUAUUUCGCAGAUUCCACUAAAAUAUCUGAGCCCUGUUCUGAUUUCUUCCACAUGCAGAAGUUAACUUGUGCAUAUUGCUCCUCUUUCUUCCCUCCAAGAAAAUAAGAAAAAAUCCAAGGUUUCCCAGAAGGGUAUCACACACGCAGACUUCCUUGAAGUAUUGAUUCAGACAGAAAAUUAAGUAUGGAUUCCAAAUUAUUUUGAUUUCUUUUCCCCCUUAUAUGCUACUUUGAACCUCCUGUGUGUUCUUUGUCUCAAUUCAACAUCAUGCUUUCUUUCUUUUACUUUUGACCCAUUCCGUCUGCUCUUUUUCUCUCAGUACUGCUUUUUCUGGGAUAGUUUAAGGCUCAUUAUGCUUGGAUCAAUAAUGUGGCAUAUUUUGUCUUAGGAAAAGUUGCUGAAACUUAAGGGAACACACAAUACCUCCCAAUUCAUGACGCAAAUUCAUUCAAUUAAAAAAACUUGACAGUGGAAGAAAUUAUAUUUUUCCUACCUGUAUCCUGACACAAAAUUUCACCAAAUAAGAACAUAUUAGAGAGGUCUUUAAAACUGCAUGGAUGCAUCUGUAUCAGCUGUGAUUAUCUCAGAAUAUAAAGCUGGAUACAACACUUUUGUUCACAAAACGUUGUCUGUCAAUCUCAGUUAAAUAUACAAAAGUAGGUCUUUUCAGUGAGGAAGUAUUUUUAAUAACUGAAUUUUCCAGUUUAACUGCACUUCUGACUUGCUAAAAGAGCUACUGCAAGUGUCUGAGUAAAGAAAUGAACCUAAUUCAUUCUGGACUUUGACCUACAACCAUACACCACUGAUGAAAAGAAGCCCAAAUUACAAGGGUCAUAAGUGGUUCAUACCAAGGGCCAACACAGAAUAUUAGCUUUUUUUUUUUUUUAUGACUCAGAGUAGCUCUUUAACACUGGCUGUGAAGUACAUUGCAGUUACAACUGUUACCUAGAGAAAUCAGGAUGUCUGCCUUCACACAGAGCCUGCUGCAUUCAGUGUGACUUCCUCCUCAACUGCCAGCCUAGACGCAUCACCUCAGCGUAAAGGAUUAACACCAGAAAUGAAGACUUGCGUGUUUGAUUACCUGUCACAAUUUAUUGGUAAUUCUUUUUCUACCCUCUGGGUCGGAUUGAUUUCCAGUUACUCUCAUGUAAACACAGAGAAGCUUUACCAAGUUAAAGGAGCAAAAAUCAGUGAAAAAUUGUGGUGAGAACAAAAUUAAGGCCCCUUGUUUUAAAUUUGGAGAUCUCUGAAGGCAACAAUUGAGGGUAAGAUUGCUUUAUACUUCACUUAUGUUAGACCCAUUUAAUUGAUAUCAGACCAUAAAAAUGGGUCUCAAAGCCAAACUAUAUUGAUACUUUAUAUAUGAAAUUCUUAUUUUUGAGUGCCAAUAAAUCCUGAUAUACCCAAAAGCCUCCUCCUUUAACAAUUUUCAUAAAGCAUUUAUCACCAAUGACCUCUGUAAAGAUCUACUAAAUGUAGUAUUAGUGCAAUCUAAAGAACAGCAUCAGCACUUUUAAAAUCUGAGUUUUUCAUAUUCAGGUUCUCAAAAUAUGAAGACACACUAGUCUCAGAACUAACUCAAUUUCUGUCAUUUAGUACAGUCACACUAUCAUCAAAGUUUUCUAUAAAUACAUAUCAUGAAACACUGUCAAUUUCAGUCUAUGAUAGCUAGAUAACAGUCCCACAAGAUACCAAAAAUGCAUGUGUCUUUAAGGAUUUAGCUUGAUUACUAUUAAAGCAAGCAGAGUUAAGCAGUUGCAAGAGAACUUUUCAGUUUUGGCAGGGCUAAGUAUUUUUACCGUUGUAAGGAUGCAAAGAACAACCUGACUGGAAUAGUUCCUUGGCCAAUGUAAAUCAGAGGAUCUCCACUGACUUCAGAAGAAUGUGUGGAUUUACAUUACUUCGAGAGCUGUCUAUUUGUUCAUGCUUUUAGAUUAAAUGUCAUUACUAUUAUUAGGAAAAGGUCAAGCCAAGUGUCUAUGUUAUAAAACAAAAAAAUCUAAACAACCAUGCAAGACUAAAACACACGUUAAUGAAAAGUGUUCUCUUUACCACUCACAGUUUAACUUUCAGAAUAUGAAAUACUGGUCUUUAUAAAUCUUCUGAUUGCUUCUUCAGAGAAUAAGACAAAAAUUUCUUCCAUUUUGAAGAAAUUUGCUUAUUAUUCUGGUUGUGAUUUUAAUGUAGAGGCCUUGUUGCUGCUGCCAUGUCAAGUUUUGGGGUGUGGAACCUUUUUGAGCUCUUAUGACAAAACUGUAUAAGCAGAAUGGCAUUAAAAAUACUUGUGUAACAAGUGUAAAAAAAGUUUAUAAAUUAAAGUAGACAUCUGAAGUUCAUGGUCAGUUCUUUAUUCCAUCACUUGAAGUCCUAGUAAGUGUCACAAAAUCUUGGUUGUACUGUUAUGUAAUCACUGUGUGCCCACAUUCCUACUGACAAGUCCCAGUAGCGGAGGUAUUCAAACCACUAAACUUUGGCAAAUAAUUUAAUACUAAGUAGAAGGCUGUGUGAUGAAAGAAGAACCUACAGGGAGUUUUUCAGAAUAUUUGGGUUAGGAACUUAAGCAGUACUCAAAUGGUCCUUUCCAUAAUGACCACAUUUCUGUCAUUGGGCAGGAACAAAUUUGCUUGCAUCAAAACACAACUCCAGACUUCCAUCAGCUUCAUUUCCAAAUGAGGACCCACAAAAUAGAUUUGUCCCUAUUAAUACCACUGUCAGAUUAUUAAAAAAAAAAAAAAAAACAAACAAAAAAAGCCCACACCAAAAAACUUUAAACACAUAUCUAACUUGCUUGCUUUGAGUUGUACAUGAUUGUGGGGACAAUGUGAAAAUGAAGUAUUGGAAAGGAAAGGGUAAGGAGUCUAAAAAACUGAUAACACUAUUCCUGUGAACACUACAGGCAGGGGAAUAAAAAAAUGCUAAUCUAAUUUUACAGUCAUGCUGAAAGACAUUUAGCAUGUUCUGGGGUUUCUGUAGAAAAAAAAUAAAUAUGACUACUAACAGAAAAAAAGUGGGGGUUUUGUUUUUGAUUUUUUUACCACAUUUAUGCUGGUAACCCAAGAAUCUACACAGACAGCAGAGGAGCUACAGGGAACCUGUACUGUUCUGGAGCCACAUCUGUAUGCAAAGUGGAGCCAACUAGAAUGGCAUUAAACAUCUGUGCUGAGGGUUCUGAAUCACCUCCUUCUACAUUAAAUGCUUAUAAGGAAGACAAAAUUUAGGAGCCAAGAACUAGGUAGCCCAUAUCCUGAAUGUUGUGAUGUAAGCUACACAUUUUAUACACUAGAUAUGGGAUUGAGAUUCUAAGUUGUCCUCUGAAAAUUUAGCACUUAACAGUGAA
Molecule: long non-coding RNA, 8846 nt
Organism: Motacilla alba alba
Lineage: Eukaryota; Metazoa; Chordata; Aves; Passeriformes; Motacillidae
Exons: 4
Source: RefSeq, a predicted model, not a curated record